Non-coding RNA from Angiostrongylus costaricensis, 73 nucleotides. The record is from Rfam. Lineage: Eukaryota; Metazoa; Nematoda; Chromadorea; Rhabditida; Metastrongylidae.
GAUCUCGUGGUGUAGUGGUUAUCACAUCUGUCUCACACACAGAAGGUCGGCGGUUCGAGUCCGCCCGAGGUCA